CUGGCAACCGCGAGGAAAAUGUAAAUAUAACUUCAUUAGCCUAAUUACCAAGUUGUUAAUUGAGUUGCACGGUACUACUUUCCAAUAUUUAUUUCUUCACAGAAUAAGGUCGUAUUCAGUCAAAUUCGGGACAGCAAUGAUUUGUGCUCGUCUGCUGCGGGAGAAUGCGGAGACAUUACUUCAAUAAUAAGGAAUCAGGGUACUUCGAUACACAAGCCCUGUCGAGUCCUAGUUCUGCAUUUAUGCUGUUGGAUUUGGUCAAGGACAACUUCAUAAACGUUUUGCAGACGAUUGUGAUCGGUGGUUCAAUCAAUUGGAAUAAGCCUCACAUAAUUCCGCCUGGGUUUUGUCAGCUUCGUGAUAUCUCCCGAAUGUGUUUGGCUGAGAAGUAAUUACACGCUGGUCCUGGGAGAUGAUAAUGCCAUGGAUCAGACCCAAUCGAUGCAGGAUCAGAUGUCGAUAGUUUCUUCUUGUUAUAUGGCACUAACGUUCCUAGAGGAACUCCGCCGUCUCAACGUAGUAUUACUUGCGUCAUUUUCAUUAGUACUUAGUUGAGAUUUCUAUGCCAAAUAACACGCCUUGAAUGCAUUCUGAGUGGCAAGCUCUAGAAUACGCGUGACCACAGUGCAAGUCAGAGGAAAUUUCUUUGAAGAAAAAUUUCCCCGACCAGAACGGGAAUCGAACCCGAACCCCCGGCAUGUUAGGUUUGACGCUAACCACUCGGCCACGGGAGCACAUGUCGAUAGUUUAGAUAGUUCAAUAAAUGAAUAAAGAUACAUACAAAAGCUCAAUAAGUUUAUAACAAUAUAUGCAUAAAGGUUGGGUUAACAUAACAUGUUUAGGGUAUAUGUUAAACCAACGUUGAACCGACUGCUUAUACUAGGUUAUACUGGCCGAUUUGACAUUUGUUUAUCAUAGUUAUCGCGUAAUAUGUUUGCUAAGUAUUGGUAAUAAAUUUACUGAGUAUUGGUAACAUUUACCAAAAAGCUCGUCAUAUAUACCAACUUUUUGGGAGAGUGUAUGAUCGGCGAUUAUGAUGAACUCGAGGAAUCGCUGUUUAUACAAAAAAGAGCGUGAAGUGUAAUGUGCACCCGUGGCCGAGUGGUUAGCGUCCCACACUAUCAUGCCGGGUGUUCGGGUUCGAUUCCCGUUCUGGUUGGGGGAUUUUUCGUCAAAGAAAAUUCUUCCGGCUUGCACUGUGGUCACGCGUAUUCUAGAGUUUGCCACUUUAGAGUACAUUCAAGGCGUGUUAUUCGGCAUAGAAAUCUCAACCAAGUAUUAAUGAACGACGCUAGUUAAUGAAUACGUUGAGACGGCAAAAGUUCCACAGGGAACGUUAACGCCAUUCAAGAAGAAGAAGUGAAGUGUAAACCAGAAUAACAUCGGUGGAUGAACUAAGUGUAUUGAUAAUGAAUUCUACCAAAUGUUUACAGUGGCGUGUAUUCUGGAAUAACGUUGUACUCACUACACAUUGUUUUCACGUGUAGUGUAUUCGGGAAUAAGGCCCAAUAACCUUUUUUGUUUUAAAUCACAUCAGAAUUCAUAAUUUGUGGCUAAAAAUGAUUGUUAACAUACAAAAAAUCGAAGUUUCGAAAAUUCCUAAAAAUUUGAUGUUCCACAAAGUUCGUCAAAAAUAGUUUUACCAUCUUGGGCCCAUUUUUAAAAUUUUCUGCACGACUUCUAUUUUGUAUGAAAAAAAAAUAUAUAUACAUAUAUUUCGGAUAUUGCGAAUUGAAUUUUUAUUUUGUAAAU
Toxorhynchites rutilus septentrionalis is the source of this 1752-nucleotide long non-coding RNA. RefSeq lists it as uncharacterized. The record is from RefSeq and is a predicted model, not a curated record. The transcript has 3 exons. NCBI's taxonomy places the organism in Eukaryota, Metazoa, Arthropoda, Insecta, Diptera, Culicidae.